GUGUGAUAGGGUACUUUUUGUAGAACGGUCCGGCGAGCGAUUGUAUGCAGCAAGGUUAAGGACUUAAGGUCUGGAGCCGAAGCGAAAGCGAGUUUGAAAAGGGCGUUAAGUUGCAUACAAUGGGCCCGAAACCGGGUGACCUACCCAUGGUCAGGUUGAAGUGGAAGUAAAAUUCCAUGGAGGACCGAACCGACCUCCGUUGAAAAGGCGGCGGAUGAACUGUGGGUAGCGGAGAAAUUCCAAUCGAACCCGGAGAUAGCUGGUUCUCCCCGAAAUAGUUUUAGGACUAGCCUCAAGUUAGAUACCUGGAGGUAAAGCACUGAAUAGCCUAGCGGCCGAGAGGUUAGCGAAGCUUAUCAAACUCAGAAUGCCAGAGUAUUGAUGCUUGGGAGUCAGACAGUGUCAGAUAAAUGUCAUUGUCAAAAGGGAAACAGCCCAGAUCUACAGCUAAGGUCCCAAAGUCAGGUUAAGUGGAAAACGAUGUGAAGAUACGUAGACAACCAGGAUGUUGGCUCAGAAGCAGCCACACAUUCAAAGAGUGCGUAAUAGCUCACUGGUCGAGCGUCUUUGCGCGGAGAAUUUAACGGGGCUAAACCUGACACCGAAGCUUAGGCAAUACAGCAAUGUAUUGGGUAGGGGAGCGUUGUAUACGCGGUGAAACAGUAGCGCAAGCGGCUGUGGAGUGUAUAGAAGUGAGAAUGCCGGAAUGAGUAGCGCGAAUGCAGUGAGAAUCUGCAUGGCCGAAAGCCUCAGGUUUCUGGAGGAAGGUUCGUCCGCUCCAGGUUAGUCGGGAGCUAAGGUGAGGCCUAACGGCGUAGCCGAUGCACAGACGGUAGAGAUUCCGUCACCACCAAAAGAGUUAAACACAGGGACACAUUUGAAGUCUCGGAGCCGGGUGUUGGUUCCGGUAGCGAUCGAGGGAAAUUAGUACCGAAGUCCGGGAUGGAAGAUGGCGAGAAAAGCUGUGUGUAUUUCUGCGGUGCCCGUACCGCAAACCGACACAGGUAGGUAGGAAGAAGAUUCUAAGGCCAACGGGAGAAGGGUUGUUAAGGAACUCGGCAAAUUGACCCCGUAACUUCGGGAGAAGGGGUGCUCCAGAGAUGGAGCCGCAGAGAAUCGGCCCAAGCAACUGUUUACCAAAAACACAGGUUUGUGCUAAAUCGAAAGAUGACGUAUACGAGCUGACGCCUGCCCGGUGCUGGAAGGUUAAGAGGAGAUGUGCAAGCAUUGAAUCGAAGCCCCAGUGAACGGCGGCCGUAACUAUAACGGUCCUAAGGUAGCGAAAUUCCUUGUCAGGUAAGUUCUGACCCGCAUGAAAGGCGUAAUGAUUUGGGCACUGUCUCGACAGCCCGCCCGGCGAAAUUGUAGUACCGGUGAAGAUGCCGGUUACCCGCGACAAGACGGAAAGACCCCAUGGAGCUUUACUGUAGCCUAAUAUUGGGUUUCGAUGUUGCAUGCACAGGAUAGAUGGGACACAGGGAAACAAGUGCUUUGGCAUUUGUGGAGUGGCCGUUGGGAUACCAUCCUUGCGAUAUUGGAAUUCUAACCUGCGCCUUUGAAUCAAGGCGGGGGACAUUGUUAGGUGGGCAGUUUGACUGGGGCGGUCGCCUCCUAAAGAGUAACGGAGGCGUUCAAAGGUUCGCUCAGCUUGAACGGAAAUCAAGCAAAAGAGUGCAAACGCAGAAGCGAGCCUAACUGCGAGACUGACGGGUCGAGCAGUAACGAAAGUUGGAGUUAGUGAUCCGGUGGUAUGUGAGUGGAAAUGCCAUCGCUCAACGGAUAAAAGUUACCCUGGGGAUAACAGGCUGAUCUCCCCCAAGAGUCCACAUCGACGGGGAGGUUUGGCACCUCGAUGUCGGCUCAUCGCAUCCUGGGGCUGUAUUCGGUCCCAAGGGUUUGGCUGUUCGCCAAUUAAAGCGGUACGCGAGCUGGGUUCAGAACGUCGUGAGACAGUUCGGUCCCUAUCUGUCGUGGGCGCAGGAUAUUUGAUGGGAGCUGUUCCUAGUACGAGAGGACCGGAGCGGACGUACCUCUGGCGCACCAGUUGUUCUGCCAAGGGCAUAGCUGGGCAACUAUGUACGGAUCGGAUAAACGCUGAAAGCAUCUAAGCGUGAAGCCGACCCAAAGAUAAGAUAUCCCAUUGUUU
This 2146-nucleotide ribosomal RNA is filed under the name Faecalibacterium prausnitzii. Its description in RNAcentral is "partial 23S ribosomal RNA". It matches the Rfam family "Bacterial large subunit ribosomal RNA", at positions 591 to 2822 of the family's 2925-position model. The record is from RNAcentral. Lineage: Bacteria; Bacillati; Bacillota; Clostridia; Eubacteriales; Oscillospiraceae.